Molecule: long non-coding RNA, 239 nt
Filed under: Elaeis guineensis (African oil palm)
Lineage: Eukaryota; Viridiplantae; Streptophyta; Magnoliopsida; Arecales; Arecaceae
Description: long non-coding RNA (EGUI_LNC021960)
Source: RNAcentral
UCCAUCUGUCGCCUUUUGCUCCUUCAAAAAUUGCUAAAGUUGAGCUGCCAUCUGAGCUCAAAGUCGGAUUCUCCCACUUGAGAAUCUCAUUUUGGAGAAUCACUAUGAUAACCUCGUCCAUCUUGAUGGUGCUCUUUCUUACUAAAAAAAUAGUCAUUAAAGACUCAUACGAAGAGGAAAGCGAUGCUAGCAAGACCAGCACCCUGGUCUUCUCUUCAACUUUCUCAUCAAUACUGAGG